This 443-nucleotide ribosomal RNA is filed under the name uncultured bacterium. Its description in RNAcentral is "partial 16S ribosomal RNA". It matches the Rfam family "Bacterial small subunit ribosomal RNA", at positions 338 to 795 of the family's 1533-position model. The record is from RNAcentral.
CCUACGGGUGGCUGCAGUGGGGAAUAUUGGGCAAUGGAGGAAACUCUGACCCAGCAACGCCGCGUGAAUGAUGAAGGUCUUCGGAUUGUAAAGUUCUUUUCUAAGGGAAGAAGAAAGUGACGGUACCUUAGGAAUAAGCCUCGGCUAACUACGUGCCAGCAGCCGCGGUAAUACGUAGGAGGCGAGCGUUAUCCGGAUUUACUGGGUGUAAAGGGUGCGUAGGCGGUCUUGCAAGUCAGACGUGAAAACCACAGGCUCAACCUGUGGACUGCGUUUGAAACUGUGGGGCUUGAGUGAAGUAGAGGUAGGCGGAAUUCCCGGUGUAGUGGUGAAAUGCGUAGAGAUCGGGAGGAACACCAGUGGCGAAGGCGGCCUACUGGGCUUUAACUGACGCUGAGGCACGAAAGCAUGGAUAGCAAACAGGAUUAGAUACCCCAGUAGUC